Molecule: ribosomal RNA, 457 nt
Filed under: uncultured bacterium
Lineage: Bacteria
Description: partial 16S ribosomal RNA
Rfam family: Bacterial small subunit ribosomal RNA
Source: RNAcentral
CCUACGGGAGGCAGCAGUGGGGAAUAUUGCACAAUGGGGGAAACCCUGAUGCAGCGACGCCGCGUGAGUGAAGAAGUAUUUCGGUAUGUAAAGCUCUAUCAGCAGGGAAGAAAUAGCGACCUGUGGGUCGCCAGACGGUACCUGACUAAGAAGCCCCGGCUAACUACGUGCCAGCAGCCGCGGUAAGACGUAGGGGGCAAGCGUUAUCCGGAUGUACUGGGUGUAAAGGGAGCGCAGGCGGAGGUGCAAGUCAGCGGUAAAAUUGCGGGGCUCAACCCCGUACUGCCGUUGAAACUGCAUCCCUUGAGUGCGCGAGAAGUAUGCGGAAUGCGUGGUGUAGCGGUGAAAUGCAUAGAUAGCACGCAGAACUCCGAUUGCGAAGGCAGCAUACCGGCGCGCAACUGACGCUCAUGCACGAAAGCGUGGGUAUCGAACAGGAUUAGAUACCCUUGUAGUC